GUUAAUGUAGCUUAAUAGUAAAGCAAAGCACUGAAAAUGCUUAGACGGAUAUUAAUAAUCCCAUAAA
This 67-nucleotide transfer RNA is filed under the name Melomys burtoni (grassland melomys). RNAcentral's name for it is "tRNA-Phe". It matches the Rfam family "tRNA". Rfam says of the family: Transfer RNA (tRNA) molecules are approximately 80 nucleotides in length. The record is from RNAcentral. Lineage: Eukaryota; Metazoa; Chordata; Mammalia; Rodentia; Muridae.